UACGUAGGCAGCAAGCGUUGUUCGGAGUUACUGGGCGUAAAGGGUGUGUAGGCGGUUGCUUAAGUUUGGUGUGAAAUCUCCCGGCUUAACUGGGAGGGUGCGCCGAAUACUGAGUGACUCGAGUGCGGGAGAGGAGAGUGGAAUUCCUGGUGUAGCGGUGAAAUGCGUAGAUAUCAGGAGGAACACCGGUGGUGUAGACGGCUCUCUGGACCGUAACUGACGCUGAGACACGAAAGCGUGGGUAGCAAACAGG
RNAcentral lists this ribosomal RNA (253 nucleotides) under uncultured bacterium. Its description in RNAcentral is "partial 16S ribosomal RNA". It matches the Rfam family "Bacterial small subunit ribosomal RNA", at positions 524 to 776 of the family's 1533-position model. The record is from RNAcentral.